CAGCGCCACAAGUGGGGGCCAUUUUUAUUGGGCCUAAAGCGUCCGUAGCUGGUUCGGUAAAUCUUCUGUGAAAUUGUCUAGCCUAACUAGACAGCGUGCAGGGGACACUGCCGAACUCGAGACCGGGAGGGGUCAGAAGUAUUCCUAGGGGAGCGGUAAAAUGCUAUAAUCCCAGAAGGACUACCUAUGGCGAAGGCAUCCAACUAGAACGGAUCUGACGGUGAGGGACGAAAGCCAGGGGAGCGAACCGGAUUAGAUACCCGAGUAGUCC
This 271-nucleotide ribosomal RNA is filed under the name uncultured archaeon. RNAcentral describes it as "partial 16S ribosomal RNA". It matches the Rfam family "Archaeal small subunit ribosomal RNA", at positions 477 to 747 of the family's 1478-position model. The record is from RNAcentral.